AUGGGGGAGGGGGUGGUUGAAGGGUGGAGGACCCGCUUACCUUGCUCUCGAGCAGCGGCUGUUGGACAGAAGUGGGUGCGGGACCCUGCAAGUGCCUGCGGGGUUGGGGAAAAAGAGGAUUCGGGGAUCCCGGUGCCCCGCACGAAUAAGGGGGCGCCCACCCCAUCCCGACCGCCGAGUUUGCGCCCCUCCUCAGACAAUGUGAGAGACCGACAAACUUUUGAAUGGAUUAAAAUCCAGAGGAGCCCCGCCGGAACAGGCGGUGGUGGAGGGAACACCGACUGUCCACCCAGAACAGCUUCCUUGCCCCCAGCCUGGCCCCCACCUGGGAAGGAGGGAGCCCAGUUCACUUCGCAGGAUCCGGAAUCUUGAAUCUCCGGGGCAGAGCCGACAGCUGCGACCACUUCCAGCCUGAGCCUGACGCUGGAAGCAGCUUCUGCCGUUGGGUACUCACUGCUGCCUCCACUUCUGCUCUGUUCAGUUUGCUGCUGUGUUUUUCCGUGUCGUGUAGGGAUCUUGGGGGACAGGGCAAUGAAAUGUUUCUCCUUGGGUCCCCCAGUCCUUCCCCACGCCCCCACCAAACCUUAAAGCUGCUGAUGGAUGGUAUUAAGCUGCAGCUUCUGGCCCUGCUCAGAAGCUACUCCAAGCAAAUUCAAAUUUUCUUCUGGGCCGGAGGAAGGACACAGGCUCCUUCCUCAGUCCUUCCUUGCUCAUUGAUCCAUUUGAAGGGCAUUUGGGGGUCAAAACUGAGACCAGACUGCUUCCAUUGGUAUAAAAUCAGCAUCGUUAUCACACGAAAGGCCCAGAUUUCUCAAAUCAAGGAACCGAGAGGGCUUCACCCAGCCCCACACCUCUUCUCUGGCCUCUCAAACCAGUGAUGAUGUAAAGGUUUGUUGAGGUGGAGGAAGAGAAGGGAAAUAGGUAGUUUGCUGUACCAAGAGAUCAAUCUGUAACUGCGGCUGUUCGUUACACCAAUGUUUAUUUCAUACCUACUAUGUGCAAAGCAUUGUCCCCACCUCAGAUUUGUCAUGAUAGUCAAUAAUGGGAUUCCUGCCACUGUGAGGCUUCAAUACGUAUGGACAAAUAUAUAAAUAAACAGACUGAUGGAAAAGAAAGUUUGGAUUUU
Molecule: long non-coding RNA, 1126 nt
Filed under: Bos indicus x Bos taurus (hybrid cattle)
Lineage: Eukaryota; Metazoa; Chordata; Mammalia; Artiodactyla; Bovidae
Description: lncRNA (ENSBIXG00000022910.1)
Source: RNAcentral